RNAcentral lists this unclassified non-coding RNA (393 nucleotides) under soil metagenome. RNAcentral's name for it is "partial contains 5.8S ribosomal RNA, internal transcribed spacer 2, and large subunit ribosomal RNA". The stretch from base 1 to 122 matches the Rfam family "5.8S ribosomal RNA", at positions 35 to 154 of the family's 154-position model. The record is from RNAcentral.
GAUGAAGAACGCAGCGAAAUGCGAUACUUGGUGUGAAUUGCAGAAUCCCGUGAACCAUCGAGUCUUUGAACGCAAGUUGCGCCCGAAGCCACUAGGCCGAGGGCACGCCUGCCUGGGCGUCAGACGUCGUUGCCCCCCCCCCAUCUACUCCUUCGGGAUUGCGGGGGGCGGAUGAUGGCCUCCCGUGCGCCUAGCCGCGCGGUUGGCAUAAAUACCAAGUCCUCGGCGACGCACGCCACGACAAUCGGUGGUUGCGAAACCUCGGUUGCCCGUCGUGUGCGUUCGUCGCGCAUCGAGGGCUCGAAAAAAUGCUCGGCUCCGGCUCGGCUUUCAACGCGACCCCAGGUCAGGCGGGGUUACCCGCUGAAUUUAAGCAUAUCAAUAAGCGGAGGA